RNAcentral lists this ribosomal RNA (667 nucleotides) under Heterocypris salina. RNAcentral's name for it is "partial large subunit ribosomal RNA". It matches the Rfam family "Eukaryotic large subunit ribosomal RNA", at positions 366 to 776 of the family's 3401-position model. The record is from RNAcentral. Lineage: Eukaryota; Metazoa; Arthropoda; Ostracoda; Podocopida; Cyprididae.
GAAAAGAACUUUGAAGAGAGAGUUCAAGAGUGCGUGAAACCCUCCAGAGGUAAACGGUUGGAAUCAGGCCGUGGCUUCUGGGUUUUCGCUGGGGCAGCUGUCUGCUGAUCAGCUUUGGAGAAUGGAGCGCUUUCGGGUGCUUGGUCUCUGGGACUGAUCAAAUCGCAGGCGUUGUCACUAGUCUUCUCCCAGAUCGCUGCCGCAGCCGGUUGGGGUUGAAAAUUCCCUCUGGUUACUCGCAGGGAGCUGUGCCUUCAACGUUUCGGCGUUGUGUGGUGCAACCUGUUGGGGAUUCGCUGGGGGAAACCCGACCGCAGUUGACAGACUGAUAGGGCGUCGGCACUUGGUGCGGGCGAACUGGUGCGCGACGGGCCGAUCCGGCAGGGUGUUUGCCGCAGUGCAGCUCUCCGGGUUGGUUCGUGUCGGCGCUUGCCAGGUUCUCGCCUCCAGGCGUUCCUAUGCUUUGCGGCAUCUGUUGCCUCUGUUCCUACCGACCCGUCUUGAAACACGGACCAAGGAGUCUAACUUGUAUGCGAGUGAUCGAGUUAUUUUCAAAACUCGAACGCAAAAUGAAUGUGAAGGUUCUCGUACGAGAGCUGACGGAGGAUCCCCGGUGUAAGCCCUCCUCGGGGGGAAGGCCGGGGCGAACUCCGGGGGCAUCGAAACU